This is a long non-coding RNA of Danio aesculapii, 197 nucleotides long. RefSeq lists it as uncharacterized. The record is from RefSeq and is a predicted model, not a curated record. NCBI's taxonomy places the organism in Eukaryota, Metazoa, Chordata, Actinopteri, Cypriniformes, Danionidae. The transcript has 2 exons.
AGGAGGAGGAGGAGGAGGAGGCAGCGGGCAGAGAACGCCACUCAAGGAAGGGGCGCCAGAGGGCAGAGAGUCCCGGGUCACCCAUGGAGGGAACUAGCAGGAGGACGCUGCCAUGGCCGCCUUCGAAGGGGAAACGCCCCCUCGAAGCAACCGAAGACUCUGAAUCUUCCUAAAUAAAAAUUGAACAAUAAAGGUCA